Molecule: long non-coding RNA, 562 nt
Organism: Zea mays
Lineage: Eukaryota; Viridiplantae; Streptophyta; Magnoliopsida; Poales; Poaceae
Exons: 2
Source: RefSeq, a predicted model, not a curated record
CGGUCAAGCACUCGACAAGCAAACUGCAAACAGCAAGCCCCAGCUCGCUCUCCCAAAACCCCAAGCGCCAAGCCCCAACCCGCGCCGCCGCCGCCGCUGGCUCUCCGCUCGGACCUCGGACGCUCGGUCGGCGCUCGCUCUCCCAAAACCCCAAGCGCCAGUCCCCAACUCCCCAUGCUGAGUCGCUGAGACGCUGAGCGGCUGAGGCAUCCUGCUCCUGCCUCCAGCAGUCCAGCGGUCCACCCUCCUGCAGUCCUCCUCGGCUGCUCCUGCAUCCAUGGCGGUGACCAAUGACACCACAAACGACGACGGCCGGGAUGCCGCUGCCACUUCGACCGAGCACCGCCUGCCGGAUCCGAAGGACAAGAGCAACAACGGCGAUGGAGACCCAAAAGCACCUGCCGGGUAUGGGUUACCCGUCGGGUAACAAUAUCCACUUGGGUACAGGCAUGGGUAAACAUUUCUACCCGAACCGGGUAUGGGUAUUGUGCCGGGUACAUUUUUUUGUCGCAGGUGCGAGUAUGAAAAGAUAAUAUCCGGCGGGUACGUACCCGUUGCCAUC